CAGGAAAAGAAAUACAAAUACUGCCUGAUCUCACUUAUAUGUGAAAUCUAAAGAAGUUGAGCUCAGAAGUAAAGAACAGAAUGUUGGUUUCCAAGGUUGGGGCAAGGGAGAGUUGGGGAAACAUUUCUCAAAGGACACAACAUUUCAGUUAGAUAGAAAGAGUAAAUUUAAGAGAUCUAUUAUAAACUGGCCAUGGUGGUGCAUGCCUAUAAUCUCAGCACUCAGGAGUCUGAGGCAGGAGGAUCAGCGUGAGUUCGAGGCCAGCCUGGGCUACAUAGGAUCGAACUCGGGACCUUGUGCCUGCAAGGCAGGCGGUGGAACCACUGAGCUAAAUCCCCAGCCCUCAUAAGUGGGCUUUUAAGAAGUGAUUGGAUAAUGGUGGCAUGAUACUCGUCAGUGGAUUAGUCUACUGUGAUUUCUAAAACCAUGGAAUUCCAUGGAAUCAUCUUGGGAGAGAGUGUUGCCUGAGAAAAAAAGAGAGCCAAUGAUUAUGUCCUGGAAAGAUCUCAGCUUUUAGGGGUUAAGCAGAAGAGGAGGAGUAGGUAAAGGAGGCUGAGCAAUGAACACUGGAG
Molecule: long non-coding RNA, 572 nt
Filed under: Heterocephalus glaber (naked mole-rat)
Lineage: Eukaryota; Metazoa; Chordata; Mammalia; Rodentia; Bathyergidae
Description: lncRNA (ENSHGLG00100043166.1)
Source: RNAcentral